Molecule: ribosomal RNA, 497 nt
Filed under: uncultured bacterium
Lineage: Bacteria
Description: partial 16S ribosomal RNA
Rfam family: Bacterial small subunit ribosomal RNA
Source: RNAcentral
GAUGAACGCUGGCGGCGUGCCUAAUACAUGCAAGUCGAGCGAACAGAUGAGGAGCUUGCUCCUCUGACGUUAGCGGCGGACGGGUGAGUAACACGUGGAUAACCUACCUAUAAGACUGGGAUAACUUCGGGAAACCGGAGCUAAUACCGGAUAAUAUAUUGAACCGCAUGGUUCAAUAGUGAAAGACGGUUUUGCUGUCACUUAUAGAUGGAUCCGCGCCGCAUUAGGUAGUUGGUAAGGUAACGGCUUACCAAGGCAACGAUGCGUAGCCGACCUGAGAGGGUGAUCGGCCACACUGGAACUGAGACACGGUCCAGACUCCUACGGGAGGCCACAGUAGGGAAUCUUCCGCAAUGGGCGAAUGCCUGACGGAGCAACGCCGCGUGAGUGAUGAAGGUCUUCGGAUCGUAAAACUCUGUUAUUAGGGAAGAACAAAUGUGUAAGUAACUAUGCACGUCUUGACGGUACCUGAUCAGAAAGCCACGGCUAACUACGUG